RNAcentral lists this ribosomal RNA (443 nucleotides) under uncultured bacterium. RNAcentral describes it as "partial 16S ribosomal RNA". It matches the Rfam family "Bacterial small subunit ribosomal RNA", at positions 338 to 795 of the family's 1533-position model. The record is from RNAcentral.
CCUACGGGAGGCAGCAGUGGGGAAUAUUGGGCAAUGGGCGCAAGCCUGACCCAGCAACGCCGCGUGAAGGAAGAAGGCUUUCGGGUUGUAAACUUCUUUUCUCAGGGACGAAGCAAGUGACGGUACCUGAGGAAUAAGCCACGGCUAACUACGUGCCAGCAGCCGCGGUAAUACGUAGGGGGCAAGCGUUAACCGGAUUUACUGGGUGUAAAGGGCGUGUAGGCGGGACGGCAAGUCAGAUGUGAAAACCAUGGGCUCAACCUAUGACCUGCAUUUGAAACUGUAGUUCUUGAGUCCUGGAGAGGCAGACGGAAUUCCUAGUGUAGCGGUGAAAUGCGUAGAGAUUAGGAGGAACACCAGUGGCGAAGGCGGUCUGCUGGACAGCAACUGACGCUGAGGCGCGAAAGCGUGGGGAGCAAACAGGAUUAGAUACCCUGGUAGUC